This 178-nucleotide ribosomal RNA is filed under the name uncultured bacterium. Its description in RNAcentral is "partial 16S ribosomal RNA". It matches the Rfam family "Bacterial small subunit ribosomal RNA", at positions 1323 to 1500 of the family's 1533-position model. The record is from RNAcentral.
AAGCUGGAUUCGCUAGUAAUCGCGCAUCAGCCACGGCGCGGUGAAUACGUUCCCGGGCCUUGUACACACCGCCCGUCACACCAUGGGAGUCGGUAACACCCGAAGUCGGUAGCCUAACCGUAAGGAGGGCGCCGCCGAAGGUGGGAUUGAUGACUGGGUGAAGUCGUAACAAGGUAAC